This is a non-coding RNA of Lactuca sativa (garden lettuce), 2987 nucleotides long. Lineage: Eukaryota; Viridiplantae; Streptophyta; Magnoliopsida; Asterales; Asteraceae. The record is from RefSeq and is a predicted model, not a curated record.
UUAGCAAGAAAAAGCCCUAGGGCGUUGGUCUUCAUAGCAGCAUCGCACCACCACCCAACCUCCGAUCUCGCACCGCCAACUGUCUCCGACCAUCUUCUCCAACCAUUUGGGAGAAGUUGUUUCCAAACGUUUCAACAUUUCAUUAUGUUUUACCAGCUUCUAAACCAAUUUUCCCUUCCAUCUUACGAAGACAUCCUAUUUUUCUUCUUCGGCGAUUCCCCCCUUCUCCUCUAAUUACUUUCUCGGCUUCUCCCCUGACUUACAACAAGAAAACCCUAGUUCUUUCCUUUAACUCGUCUUCGCAAAAUCAAGCGCAUACAACCAUCAUGUAUGAGAGUACGUCUGUUUUCUUCCUCUUACAAUCGCUAAGCCCUAACAUCGAAAAUUGAAAGUCAAUUGACCCUCCGUUCGAAGAAAAAGGUCCCACAUGAAGGAACAAUGUGUGAUCUGUUAAGGUCAGAUCCAGAUGAUAGAUGCGGGUAGGGGUUCUCUCCACAUGGGGCUGGUACACAUUCGGACAAGACAUCGCGUCUCACUUCAACUAUACAAAUGGGCUUACUCUCAUCUCCACAGCUCACCAGCUUUUCAUGGAGGGUUUCAACUGGUGUCAUGACAAGAAUGUGGUGACAGUGUUCAGUGCUUCUUACUUCAAAAACAGAGUUGGAUCAGUAUUGGGGGAGUCGCAAGUCAUGGGGCCCCAACAACACGUAUGACCUCAUUGGCAAGUUGCGUUCUAUUAAGCAUUAUCUUCUUACGGAUCAGAUACACAUUGUUGCUUCAUGGUUGAAUGAGCAACAUUUGAGCAAAAAGUCAAAGAGAAAGAGAUAAUGUACAAGAGCUACAGAGACGAACAUAGGGGUGUGGUUGACACUGGCAAUAAUAAAAUUUGUUUUAAAGAACUUGGUGUUGUUCGGGCCAUGGGUACCAACCACUUUUCCCCUGAUGUGGUUUUUAUCGUCUCUAGAGGCUUUAGAACAGAUUGACUUUGUUGGUUCUCAAGAGCAUGCAUUGAUAGGUUUUGCAUCUGACUAAGUUUUAGAUUGCUCUUGGGAUUUUACAGGUAUCAGAUGGUUUAUGAUGCUUUAUUAUCGGGGUUUGCUGGUUUUCGACCAUAUUACCCCUGCACUUACAACAGAUUACUUCAUCUUUGGUCACUUUUAUUUGUGUAUGAAUUUUCUAGCUCAUGAAAACAGUCGAGUAUUCAAAUUCAACUAAAAAAUUUCUUUUGCAUAUCUAACCCGCAAAGCGGGAUUCUUCCCUAGUUUGGUUAAAAAGAAGACAUUUUAAGAGUUAUGGUUUUGUUAUGGUUUUGUUGUAUAUGUAUUAGGUUAUCCAAAGAUCAUUCACAAAGAUCUUAUAGUCUUAAUUAUAUGUCAGCAACUCAGCAUCCAGAGAUCUAUAAAAGGCUCAUGGGAACUCAUUCCAGAAGAAGAUUUUGCUACUGUUUGGAUUUAGGGGAGGCCAUGCUUCUACUUCUUCCAUGGAAGUUCUAUCCCCAUUUUGCAAAUUCAGCCAUGAUUUCUUAACUCUGAUAUAAAUUAUCUGUUAAUUGCAGUUCUCAGUUUGCACUGCGUUCAUACCUCUACAUUAUGUUCCAUUAUAUGGUGGGUUGGCCAGCUUCACAGAUGUAUAAUUGGCUCGAUGAGGAAAAAGUAAGAGUAUUCUAUGCUGUGAGAAUCUUUCUUGGCCUUCUUUCUGUCAUAUAUGAAGCUACUUUAGUAGUAGCACUUUCUAGAAAGUAUGGGAAACGCCUUGCUUGUUACACACUCGCCCUUUUAUGCUUAACAAGUGAUUGCUUUUUUGCUAGCACAAGUUUUUUGCCAAGUUCUUUUUCUAUGUAUGCAAUUUCUCUCUCUUCAGCAUUGUUUCUUUUUAGGAUGCAUGCCAUGGCUGUUGCUGUUGCAGCAACUGGAGUUAUUAUUGGUUGGCCAUUUUCAGUCCUUGCUUUUCUUCUAGUAACAGUCUACUCUCUGCUUCGAAAAUUCAAAAGGGCAUUUAUAUCAGGGGCAUUUAUGUCAAUUACACUUUUGCUUUUCCACUACCACGGAAGUAUGAAUAAACUUGCUGCAUAUCCAUAACAAACCACAUACAUUGAAAUUAAAGAAAAAAAGGGGAAGAUCAUGAUCUGAUCAGAAGAUGAAGAUCAAUAUUUCAAACCUGAAUAACCCAGAUGCUGAUUGCCGUUUCAAUGAAAAAUAGUCCAAAUCCAAUGAGAUAACAACACAUAGCCAGAUGGUCAUUAAUUUAGUGUACCUCAUUUAGUGAAACUUACCUUCUUUAAAGCAACAAUCUUUCCAGUUUCAAGGUCUCGAGCUCUGUACACGCUGUUCUGACAGAAGCAUUUGGGAAGUUCUAUGGAAGCUCAAAACAGGGAACCAGCAAUGAUAAAUCUCGUGCUGGUGUUCAUGACAACCGCAUCAAGCACACAUAGGUUUUCUCUUUGGUAACUCAAUUUUACCCAUUUGAGGAGAUAAGUUUGUUAUUAUUUUUUUGCUUUUUUCCUUUCUGAGUGUGGAUAUGGAAACUUCAUGCACAAUUUUAUUAUAAUUAUUUUCCAGGUCAUAUGAAUGAUUAAAUGUCGACACUCUACAUGCACCUGAAUUCUAUAUUUUGUGGUGCUUGUAGAGUGUCAUGUAUUGAUUGAUUAAUGGUUUGGUUGAACACAAGUCACAUGAUACUUCAUGCAUAGUUUGGAUCAUAUUAAAUUGUUAAUGGUUAAGUUUAGAAUUCAAGCGAUGUCUAAUGUUUAGUGAUCAAUUUCACAGGUGAUGACCUUACAUGUGACAAUGCAAAUCUUGAAGGUGAAUCAGGGUCACGCACAAUUCUUGGUAGACAGGUCAAAGGAAUUGUCACAGAGCAGGUUGUUAUAAUGCUUCACCUGUUCAAAAUAGCAAUUUACUCUCUUUAUUUUGUUUAUUGUAACAUUAUAUAUUGUAAGAAGUAGAAUUGUAUGACAUUAAAUUUUAUGCAAUGGAUUGUAUUUUUUA